Long non-coding RNA from Onychostruthus taczanowskii (white-rumped snowfinch), 489 nucleotides. RefSeq lists it as uncharacterized. The transcript has 3 exons. The record is from RefSeq and is a predicted model, not a curated record. NCBI's taxonomy places the organism in Eukaryota, Metazoa, Chordata, Aves, Passeriformes, Passeridae.
CGAGAAGCACGAGGUCUUUGCUGAGCAUCAUCCCUGGAGAACAACAAACAUCCCUGGGGACUCCACAAAUCCUCUAUUGGCGGCUGAGAGACCAGAGAAGGACCUCAGCCUUUAAUUGAGGAUGUUUUCCUGCCAAGGAGGGAAAAAGAAAUCCUAACAAAUAACAAGUUCAUGGAGUGCUUAAAUCUGAGGAUAUGUUCAAGUGCAGACAUAACAUCAGGAACCCUUGUUCAAACAAAAUCCUCUUGGAGUGACUGCAAUUAAACCAAGAAAGGACGUGGACCUGGUCUUUAUUUUUGAUCUCUUGCCUCUACAGUGAUUCAGGUUGGCUUGGAUAAUAAAAAUAAAUCCCUCCUCCUCUUGCCAUAAAUCAGCAUAUUCUGGCUUUUGUCCCCAAGAAGAGCCUGUCUGUUCCACUGCCAGUGUUAUUCCCAGUUCUUUGUCCCAGUUCUAGGACUGGAUUAUCUUCAGGGACAGGCUGUAGCCUCG